Small nuclear RNA from Nannospalax galili (Upper Galilee mountains blind mole rat), 103 nucleotides. NCBI's taxonomy places the organism in Eukaryota, Metazoa, Chordata, Mammalia, Rodentia, Spalacidae. The record is from Ensembl.
CUUCUUCAGCAGAACACAAACUAAAAUUUAAACAACACAAACAAAAUUAGCAUGGCCCCUGCCCAAGAAUGACAUGCAAGUUCAUCCAGAGUUCCAUAUUUAC